UACGUAGGGUGCAAGCGUUAAUCGGAAUUACUGGGCGUAAAGCGUGCGCAGGCGGUUUUGUAAGUCAGAUGUGAAAUCCCCGGGCUUAACCUGGGAACUGCGUUUGAAACUACAAGGCUAGAGUGUGACAGAGGGGGGUGGAAUUCCACGUGUAGCAGUGAAAUGCGUAGAGAUGUGGAGGAACACCGAUGGCGAAGGCAGCCCCCUGGGUCAAGACUGACGCUCAUGCACGAAAGCGUGGGGAGCAAACAGG
RNAcentral lists this ribosomal RNA (253 nucleotides) under uncultured bacterium. RNAcentral's name for it is "partial 16S ribosomal RNA". It matches the Rfam family "Bacterial small subunit ribosomal RNA", at positions 524 to 776 of the family's 1533-position model. The record is from RNAcentral.